Molecule: ribosomal RNA, 493 nt
Filed under: uncultured bacterium
Lineage: Bacteria
Description: bacterial SSU rRNA
Rfam family: Bacterial small subunit ribosomal RNA
Source: RNAcentral
AAAGGAAUUGACGGGGGCCCGCACAAGCAGUGGAGUAUGUGGUUUAAUUCGAAGCAACGCGAAGAACCUUACCAGGGCUUGACAUCCCUCGCACGAUGUAGAGAUACAUUUUUCCUACGGGACGAGGAGACAGGUGGUGCAUGGUUGUCGUCAGCUCGUGUCGUGAGAUGUUGGGUUAAGUCCCGCAACGAGCGCAACCCCUGUUGUUAGUUGCCAUCAAGUAAAGUUGGGCACUCUAACGAGACUGCCGGUGACAAAUCGGAGGAAGGUGGGGACGACGUCAAAUCAUCAUGCCCCUUAUGUCCUGGGCUACACACGUACUACAAUGGUCGCAACAACGGGAAGCGAAGGAGCAAUCUGGAGCAAAUCCCAAAAAAGCGAUCUCAGUUCGGAUUGUGGGCUGCAACUCGCCCACAUGAAGUAGGAAUUGCUAGUAAUGGCAGGUCAGCAUACUGCCGUGAAUACGUUCCCGGGCCUUGUACACACCGCCCGU